GGGGGCGUUAUGGCUUCGACGGGGGUAAGAUGGAUUUGAGAAGCGAGUCGAGGGACGCAUGUGGCCUCGUUAAUAAAAUAUGCACUAAAUGUAAACGCAGAAGAUAAUUUUGCAUUAGCAGCCUAGUUAGUUGCUCGUCCUACCUUUGAGUCCCACGGCUUAGGAUAGGGCGUCAAAUAGUGGGGAACCGAACUUAGCAAAGCUUUGAGCUAUGGACGGAAUUUAUGAAGCUACUAAAAGGUAAAGCCUGUCUGCAGGCGUUACCUGGAGGGAAUGUUAAAAUGCAGACUGCACUCGGAGAUGCUCAAAUUGGUCUACUUUCGGACAGGGGUUCGAUACCCCUCGCCUCCACCA
Molecule: transfer-messenger RNA, 354 nt
Filed under: Clostridiaceae
Lineage: Bacteria; Bacillati; Bacillota; Clostridia; Eubacteriales
Also listed under: 1 other name
Description: Clostridium_J senegalense Standard tmRNA
Rfam family: transfer-messenger RNA
About the family: Bacterial tmRNA, also known as 10Sa RNA or SsrA, is named for its dual tRNA and mRNA-like properties. Its role is to liberate the mRNA from a stalled ribosome.
Source: RNAcentral